GUUUUCUUUCACUUUUCCCCCAAUCACUCUUUUCUUCCCAACUCUUCAUAAUGUCCUUCUAUUUACGAAAUCUUGCAAUUGAAGAAUAGAAGGAUUUGAGGUUUUGAUUUGAACUGAUCCUCAUUGUUUUUUCAAUUUAAUGGAUCAACGCCGGCGAAUCAAAACCGUACCGGAUGGAAAUAGGGAUUUGAUAAGUGAGCUGCCGGGAGAGGUAAAAGAUAGAAUUUUGGAGUGCUUGCCCACCCGAGACGCCGCCAGAAUGGCUCUGCUCUCAACCCACUGGAAUGAUGCUUGGUUGCAGCAUGGGCGGCUUGCGUUCGAUUCGGACUUCUUGCAUAGUGUUGAACAGUGCUAUGAAGGUGAAGAAGUUAGUGCGAGAUGGUUGGCACCGCAUUUGAAAGCCAUUAAGACUCUUUGGUUGUGUGGCUCUUCGUUGCGGUAUAUGGAUGUAUCUAUGUUUCCAACUGCAAUAAAUCUGCAAGUGAUGAAGCUGUAUGAAUUAAGCUUUUGUUGUGGGAAGCAGAUCACCGUUGCUAUGCAAUUGCUUCAAAAAUGCCCCAACCUAUGUGAACUAGGAUUUAUGGUGGAUGAGGAGAGUAAUCGUUGGGUGGAUGACAAAGAAGUUGCUUCUAGGCUUUUGGAGGAUCCAGAUGGUUGCUUUCUUAUUCAGGAGUUGAAGAUGCUUAACACAAUCAAGAUUGAAUCAUUCCGUGAAUCCGCACUCAUAAUGCCUUUUAUGAAAAUGCUGCUCUCGAAAUCCCCUGCGCUAAAGAGAGUUGUUAUUUUGAAGCCUUGGGAUAUGAAUGACUCUGAGGUGAGCAAAAUUCUAAGGGAGUUGGAAUGCUUCCCUCGUGCAUCACCAAACGCGCAAAUAGUCUGCACCGGCAAGUACUGCAUGCGCGAUUACUAUGAGCGUGAGGAUUAUUUGGAUUUAUACCCAUGGUUUUAGCCUUUUAGAAACCUAGCAUGGUGUGGUGAAUCUCCAUGGGGGUUCAAUUUGGGUGCAACUUAGAAAUGCACAAUCCUACCUGGCCACCUAUCUGAUGGCGACGAAGUCGAAAAUGCCCAAAACUUUUCACAAUCCCUGCUGGAAUCUUGGAAACAAUCUAUCUAGUAAGUGUUUCGCUUUGAAAAUUCCAGUUUCGACCUCUGAUGAAAUUGAUUCGGCCAAUGGGGAUUUUGUGACUGUCACGCGAAAGAAACGCAGGCCAAGAAAGGAUUAUUCUCAUCACUCAUCUUGCUGCUGGGAAGAUCGCUAAAGUUUCUUUGUUUGAGCCUUUUUUAGCCAAAGAUAAUAUUGACUCCUACAUCAGAACACUUAAUAAUUUCCAUAAUCGCUUGCUUCUUCAGUUGGCAAAAUCUGGAUUCUCUGCUCUCAUUCUUUUGAUGUUAAUGUUCUUUUUGAUUUUGAACAAUUUAUUUACUGUAGAGCAUCAUACAUUCCUUGGAACUUUGACUUUGAGUUUGUGGCAGUAUAUGCAAAACACACUCGUGCAGACAUCACAACUUAAUGCUAUAAUAGAGACAUACAAGCUCUAUUCCACUUCUUCUGGGAGGAGAUUUUAAUGUCAUCUUGAGCAUUUGAGGAAAUGCAACCCCUGAGUUAAAUAGCAUCUCAUAUUUCUCAGACCAUUCUUUGCUUGAUUUAGCUACUACUGGGGGUUAUGGAAUCCGAAAUAUAUAGGGGAAGAGUAUGGAAACAGAUCGACAGGUUCCUUCCUUCUCUCUUCUUCCUUUAGAGAUUAUUUUACUGAUGUUAACAUUAUGCUCCUAAACAGGACAACCUCAGAUCAUGCGCCAGCCAAUAUUGCUUUGUGGCUUUGAUCAAUUGGUAAAAGCAAAGUGGUGAAUUCCCGUUGUUGGAGGGGGUAUGCGUGCCCUUGCAUUUAAACUUAAAAGACUCAAGCAGGCGCUCCGAUCCGUGUAUGGAAUCGGGAGGUUUUUGGCAAAAGCGUUUGCCCGAGUAGCUUGGCCUUUUCUACAGCGAUUUGGCUUCCCAGCUACUUUCAUAAAUUUGAUUAUGAACUUUCUUAGCGCAACUCGACUUUCAGUGCGUGCUAGUUAACAGAGUUUCUUCAAACCUUCAAGGGGUGUAAAACAAGGCGACCCAUUCUCUCCUCUACUCUUUAUCCUAGUCUCAGAGGCUAUCUGGACAGAAAAGGUUUUUUUGUCACCUCAAAACACUGCCCUCUGAACCGCAUUACUGCAAUGGAGGAGAUCCUUUCCUAGGUAUGAAAAGAUCUUCACUACCUUUCCGCUAUUUAGGAGUGAACCUAUUCCAAGGGCUAAACAAGAUCGAUCAUUUUUUAUCAACAUGUAUAUUUUGGAGAAUGUCAACAACUAACAACCUUCAAGGUUGGCAGCGCAAACUCCUAUCCCCGGGAGGUCACCUAAUUCUCAUUAAACUAUUCCCCGCCAAUUGAUCAAAGAACUAGAGCGAAAAUUCGCUACAUUUUUCUGGGGAACAUAUAUAUGAAGGUAAGCAAAAAUAUCACUGGGAUAAAAUUUGCUUGCCUACUGAAGAAGGGGGACUGGGAGUCUGUAAUCUAUCAGCUAUUCAAUAAGCUUGCUCAGCGAAACUUUGGUUUAAUUUUAAAAACAAAGACUCCCUCUGCUCUGAGUUCAUGAAAGCUCGCUACUUCAAAGCUCAGCCCGGAAAAAUGGAUCACCAAUCUGAUCUAGUGGACAAUCAUAGCUGCGAGCGAGAUUGAAAAUGAAAUUAUUUGGAAACAGUCCACAAAAGGUGAUUUUACUCUAGCAACGACAUAUGACCUAAUUAGGCCAAGCUAAGGAAGGGCUGAACUAUCUUCAAACUGUAUCUAUCUGGGCACCAGGUUUAUCAACUAAAUGCUCAAUUUUCAUGUGGAAACUCCGAUCCUCAGAGUUGAAGAUCCUUGUCUUUCCCAGACUGUCUCGAAAGGUUUGGAAUCUGCCCCCCUUCCUUCUAUUUGUCCAUUCUGCUUUAAUUUAAUGCGAGUGCAUCACUAGAACAUUGCCUCUACUCUUGUUCUCACAUUAAUGGAGCGUGGCAAUCAUUUGCUGCUAUAUAUGUUCGGAAUCUCCCUAAAUAAUGCUCCAUCAAUCCCAACUGUAUGCUGGCUUUCAGCCCAGCCAAGAACAGCUUCAGGAUUCUACUGCUAUAUUAUAUUUUCCCUUGUCUUAUCCUUUACAAUAUAAUGCAGCACUCUUUGAAGAUAUACCAUUCUCUUUAGUUGCUGCCAUCUCCAAGUUUGAUUCAUCCUAUUUGCAAAAUUAAAGCAAUUCAUCACAUCAUUUCCUGGUUACUGAAGGGAUAGUUUCCUCCUUUUCCCCGAACAAGAGACUCAGGAUCACUUGGAUCAAAUGGCAUUAAACCACCCUCUGGUCGUUUAAAACUUAACACUGAUGCAUUAUUUUCCAUCAACGGAGCGGCUUGCUUAAGGAUUAUCCUUCCCCCUUCUAGCUUCCUCGGCACUCGAAGCAGAAGCACAGGCGUUAGACUUUGCCUUGUCUUGGUGUGAGCUUAUCUCUAUGAUCCCGACACUUAUUGAAGUUGAUUAUCUUGUUUUGGCUCAAUCUGCUUCCUCCUCCUCUCACUUGAUUCCAUGGAGAAUUCGCCGUGCGCUCAAAA
Molecule: RNA transcript, 3610 nt
Organism: Ipomoea triloba (trilobed morning glory)
Lineage: Eukaryota; Viridiplantae; Streptophyta; Magnoliopsida; Solanales; Convolvulaceae
Exons: 5
Source: RefSeq, a predicted model, not a curated record